Molecule: ribosomal RNA, 427 nt
Filed under: uncultured bacterium
Lineage: Bacteria
Description: partial 16S ribosomal RNA
Rfam family: Bacterial small subunit ribosomal RNA
Source: RNAcentral
UAGGGAAUCUUCGGCAAUGGACGAAAGUCUGACCGAGCAACGCCGCGUGAGUGAAGAAGGUUUUCGGAUCGUAAAACUCUGUUGUUAGAGAAGAACAAGGACGUUAGUAACUGAACGUCCCCUGACGGUAUCUAACCAGAAAGCCACGGCUAACUACGUGCCAGCAGCCGCGGUAAUACGUAGGUGGCAAGCGUUGUCCGGAUUUAUUGGGCGUAAAGCGAGCGCAGGCGGUUUCUUAAGUCUGAUGUGAAAGCCCCCGGCUCAACCGGGGAGGGUCAUUGGAAACUGGGAGACUUGAGUGCAGAAGAGGAGAGUGGAAUUCCAUGUGUAGCGGUGAAAUGCGUAGAUAUAUGGAGGAACACCAGUGGCGAAGGCGGCUCUCUGGUCUGUAACUAACGCUGAGGCUCGAAAGCGUGGGGAGCAAACA